RNAcentral lists this ribosomal RNA (465 nucleotides) under uncultured bacterium. RNAcentral describes it as "bacterial SSU rRNA". It matches the Rfam family "Bacterial small subunit ribosomal RNA", at positions 338 to 795 of the family's 1533-position model. The record is from RNAcentral.
CCUACGGGGCGCACCAGUGGGGAAUAUUGCACAAUGGGCGCAAGCCUGAUGCAGCCAUGCCGCGUGUAUGAAGAAGGCCUUCGGGUUGUAAAGUACUUUCAGCGGGGAGGGAGGCGAUAAGGUUAAUAACCUUGUCGAUUGACGCUACCCGCAGAAGAAGCACCGGCUAACUCCGUGCCAGCAGCCGCGGUAAUACGGAGGGUGCAAGCGUUAAUCGGAAUUACUGGGCGUAAAGCGCACGCAGGCGGUCUGUCAAGUCGGAUGUGAAAUCCCCGGGCUCAACCUGGGAACUGCAUUCGAAACUGGCAGGCUAGAGUCUUGUAGAGGGGGGUAGAAUUCCAGGUGUAGCGGUGAAAUGCCUAGAGAUCUGGAGGAAUACCGGUGGCGAAGGCGGCCCCCUGGACAAAGACUGACGCUCAGGUGCGAAAGCGUGGGGAGCAAACAGGAUUAGAUACCCUUGUAGUC